AGAGUGACAGAACUCUCCCCCUCACCAGGGUGCCAA
This 36-nucleotide small RNA is filed under the name Propionibacterium australiense. RNAcentral describes it as "CRISPR_Spacer". Lineage: Bacteria; Bacillati; Actinomycetota; Actinomycetes; Propionibacteriales; Propionibacteriaceae. The record is from RNAcentral.